AGGAUGAACGCUGGCGGCGUGCUUAAUACAUGCAAGUCGAACGGGCAUCGUAAGGUGCUAGUGGCGAACGGGUGAGUAACGCGUUGGUGACCUGCCUCAAAGAGAGGGAUAACAGAUCGAAAGAUCUGCUAAUACCGCAUGUGUUCACGGGAGUUAGAGAGCCGUGAAGAAAGCCGAAAGGCACUUUGAGAGGGACCUGCGUCCCAUCAGCUAGUUGGUGAGGUAACGACCCACCAAGGCGAUGACGGGUAGGGGACCUGAGACGGGUGCCCCGACAAGUCGGAACUAGAAACGACGGUCCAUACACCUACGGGUGGCAGCAGUAGGGAAUAUUGGUUAAUGGGCGCAAGCCUGACCCAGCAACGCCGCGUGAGUGAUGAAGGCCUUCGGGUGUAAAACUCUUUUAUGGGGAUGAGGAAGGACAGUACUCAUAGAAUAAGUCUCGGCUAACUACGUGCCAGCAGCCGC
RNAcentral lists this ribosomal RNA (468 nucleotides) under uncultured bacterium. RNAcentral describes it as "SSU rRNA". It matches the Rfam family "Bacterial small subunit ribosomal RNA", at positions 26 to 518 of the family's 1533-position model. The record is from RNAcentral.